Non-coding RNA from Camellia sinensis, 717 nucleotides. The record is from RefSeq and is a predicted model, not a curated record. Lineage: Eukaryota; Viridiplantae; Streptophyta; Magnoliopsida; Ericales; Theaceae.
UGGAUGACAAGUACCAAUACUCAACUGAGGACAAAGAUAAUCGGGUUCACGGGUGGAUAUGCUUUGACCCGCCUGUGGGGUUCUGGCAAAUCACACCCAGCAAUGAGUUCCGAGCCGGUGGACCCUUCAAACAAGACCUAACCUCCCAUGUCAACCCAACAACCCUUGCUGUAAGUGACAACCCAUACCCAUUUUUACUUACAAAUAAUUACAUGAUCCAUGUUGAUUUCACUAAUUUGUAUUAAUGCUUUUGGUGAUUAUGUCCAAUUGAUACAUAAUCUUGAUCAAAAUUGCAUGUGUAUCAGAUAUUUGUCACUUCUCAUUAUGUCGGACCAGAUUUUAAAGUAAAAUUUGAACCUGGUGAGAUAUGGAAAAAGGUUUUCGGUCCGGUUUUUAUCUAUCUUAAUUCUGUGCCGGAUGAAAAUAAUGCGCUUUCACUUUGGGACGAUGCAAAAGAACAGAUGAAUAUUGAGGUCUAGAGCUGGCCCUACAAUUUCCCAGCAUCACACUCCUUCCCACCUAAAAUUUGUUCCACCUAAAAUUUUUUCUAAAAAUUUUUUCUGCAAUUUUUUCUUCAGAUGAAUAAGAUUGGUUCUUUGCUCAAGUAACCAGGAAAAUAGGUGAUAACACAUACAAAGGAACUACGUGGCAAAUCAAAUUCACACUUGAGAAUGUAGAUCAAAGUGAAAUUAUUGGUACCUACAAAUUAAGACCCAC